This 446-nucleotide ribosomal RNA is filed under the name uncultured bacterium. Its description in RNAcentral is "bacterial SSU rRNA". It matches the Rfam family "Bacterial small subunit ribosomal RNA", at positions 329 to 792 of the family's 1533-position model. The record is from RNAcentral.
CUCCAGACUCCUACGGGAGGCAGCAGUGGGGAAUAUUGCACAAUGGGGGAAACCCUGAUGCAGCGACGCCGCGUGAGCGAAGAAGUACCUCGGUAUGUAAAGCUCUAUCAGCAGGGAAGAAGAUGACGGUACCUGACCAAGAAGCUCCGGCUAAAUACGUGCCAGCAGCCGCGGUAAUACGUAUGGUGCAAGCGUUAUCCGGAUUUACUGGGUGUAAAGGGAGCGCAGGCGGCGCGUUAAGCCUGGUGUGAAAGCCCGCGGCCCAACCGCGGGACUGCUCUUGGAACUGCGUGGCUGGAGUGCAGGAGGGGCAGGCGGAAUUCCUGGUGUAGCGGUGAAAUGCGUAGAUAUCAGGAGGAACACCGGUGGCGAAGGCGGCCUGCUGGACUGCAACUGACGUUGAGGCCCGAAAGCGUGGGGAGCAAACAGGAUUAGAUACCCGAGUA